UAGUACGGCGAGUGAAGCGGGAAGAGCUCAAAUUUGAAAUCUGGUAGCCUUCGGUUGCCCGAGUUGUAAUCUAGAGAAGUGUUUUCCGCGUUGGCCCAUGUACAAGUCCCUUGGAACAGGGCGUCAUAGAGGGUGAGAAUCCCGUCCUUGACAUGGACCCCCAAUGCUUUGUGAUACACUUUCAACGAGUCGAGUUGUUUGGGAAUGCAGCUCAAAAUGGGUGGUGAAUUCCAUCUAAAGCUAAAUAUUGGCGAGAGACCGAUAGCGAACAAGUACCGUGAGGGAAAGAUGAAAAGCACUUUGGAAAGAGAGUUAAACAGUACGUGAAAUUGUUGAAAGGGAAACGAUUGAAGUCAGUCAUGCUCUUUGGAUUAAGCCGUUCUGCGGUGUAUUUCAUUGAGCGGGGUCAACAUCAGUUUUGAUCGCUGGAAAAGGGCAGGAGGAAGGUAGCACUCUCGGGUGAACUUAUAGCCUCUUGUCGUAUACAGUGAUUGGGACUGAGGAACGCAGCAUGCCUUUUGGCCGGGAUUCGUCCACGUACAUGCUUAGGAUGUUGACAUAAUGGCUUUAAACGACCCGUCUA
Molecule: ribosomal RNA, 583 nt
Filed under: Naganishia friedmannii
Lineage: Eukaryota; Fungi; Basidiomycota; Tremellomycetes; Filobasidiales; Filobasidiaceae
Description: eukaryotic LSU rRNA
Rfam family: Eukaryotic large subunit ribosomal RNA
Source: RNAcentral